This 4157-nucleotide long non-coding RNA is filed under the name Canis lupus familiaris (dog). RNAcentral describes it as "lncRNA (ENSCAFG00000059362.1)". The record is from RNAcentral. Lineage: Eukaryota; Metazoa; Chordata; Mammalia; Carnivora; Canidae.
UUCAUUGGAAAACACAUUUAAUUUCAAAGUAAACAAAGAUGUUUGUACAUUAAAGUAUUUAAUUAGUGAAACAAUUAUCAGUGUAACAAGCUGAAAAAUACAGCAACUUGAUACAAGACUGAGGUAACAAAAUACUUCACCAAAAAUCUAAAGAAUCCCACAGAGGGCUGAUGUUCAGUGGUUAUUGCGGGUGAGACAAUUCACAAGAAUUAGAGAAAGUCCUUACACAACUGCAUGCAGGGGGUCUGCUGGAAAAAAAAAAAAAAAAAAAAAAAAAAGACAGCCCAGGAGUAGUGCAACAGAUUUAACAAGAAACGAAUUAAAAUGUAGAAACGGAUUUUCAAUUUACUUUGAAGAAUACAUAAGAAAUUGAAAACUACUCUCUAUGCAACAUUUUGAAUGCUAAGUGAAAAACCAUGCAUUUUGGCACAAAAUUUAUUAAAGAUUAUGCCAUACUAAUAAAUUAAUUACUAAUAUCUCAUUACUGAAUGGUCACAGUCAUUCAGAAAUGGGUAAAGAGAUUAAUGAUUAUAAAAUGGACAGAUGAUCCUUCGAGUUGCUGCUGCAAACAGGGAUUUCCAGGCUGCCCCCAGCGUACACACACUUGUGCAGUACAGGACUCCGAGGUAGUCCACGGUACAAGUCCUCAACACCCAAGAAAAUGCAGCUCUUGCCCAUGCUGUACUUGCAUUUAACAUUGAAAUUAAAACUAAAAAGCCUCUGAAGUAAAUACUGUGAACAUUCUGACCCUACUCUUUCAUGCCACCUCAGAAUCCUUCUCAGUAUGCCCAACCAUAGCUCUGUGCCAGGGUGUUCUGCGACAACCAGCCUCUAGGACAGCGACUCUAUCUAAUUCUCCUUGCAACUGAACUCACAGAUCAAGAGGCUAUUCAGUCUGUUGAGCAUUUUUGAGACCUUUCUGGAGGAAUGUGCACAGGGUUUUUUACCCAGUGUUAGCAGAGAGGCAGGGUCUUGUCAGAGAAGAUGCCAUGGUGAGGAUUAUUUGUUUGUUGAAUGUGGUCAGCUCCACCAGGGCAAGGAUCAGGUCUGCUCGUUCUCAGCCAUUUACAGUAUAUCCUGGGUAGAGCUUGGCACACAGGAAGCACUCACUAGAGUCAUGGAUGGAUGAUCCAUCCAUGGAUGGAUGAAUGGGUGGGUGGGUGGUUUUGCACAGAGAAUGCUAUUUCUAAGGGACUCAUGUAGAUUUUUUUCUUUCUUUUUAAAACAUGAAAUCACAUGUCAGUAUGAUGUGAGGCUGGUGAAAGUCAUUUAUUAAAGUCACACAAGAUAAGUUAGGUUGUGUUUUUAGCAAUGUUCACCUUGUUUACAAGCAUGAGUAAUGUGGGUGCAGAGUUGUAGCCCCCACCUGUGGAAUGGAAUCAGACCCCACUUGUGAAAGGCUUCCCAUUUUCGGUCAUCUUCCACUUGUAAGAUGGCAUCCUAAAGAUACUCGUCUUGGGCUUGGAAGGUGGGAGAGGAAGAUAAUGAAAGAAAUACUGGCCAUUUUGGUAAGGAAAAAGAUACUUUAUAAAUCCAGUAGGCAAGAGAGAGGGGGUUCUUUCCUAAACAGAAUGCCUUCAAGUAUCUUCCUCUUUAGGUUCCAUGGCGAGACAGGGUGAUGAAUGGGCUUCUUCAGGGAAGGAAGGGGAGGCCGCACUCUCUCAUUGGGCACACUUAGAACAUUAUUUCUACUGCUCCUGUCUGAAUCAAUCCUACAUGAAGCAUUUCAGUUGUCAGAAUGUACUUGGCUGACCUUGAGUUAUAAAACAUGUUUCAACUGAGAGGGGUGAAAAUUAUUCUCAGGGAGAGGUGCGUGAGUUGUUCUUGGAGCAUCAUAAUGAUACCAAUUACCUAUUCUACAAUUUGUAGACAGCAUCCUAUAAUUUUCAUUUUGGGGCACCAUGAUCUGUUUGCUCAAAAAAACCCCAAAAACCUAGCAUAUGCAUGCAAGACAAACCACCUUCGAUGGUUUCACAAACAUUUGUGCAUUAUGGAAAAAGAGCAAAACCCAGAAAUGCUUCCCUCCAGAGUGAGAAUCCACCCAUGGAUUUCUCCCUUUUUGGGGUUUGUGCCUGGCCUCCUCUGUGCCAGCCUGAGAGCCUUCUCAUCUGCUGCUUGAGGGACAAACCAAUGCAGGCAAGACAAUCAGCCCUUAUGUGCUUGGCCCCGUGUUCCAGCUGGGAGAGCCCAGCAUCUUUUGGCCCGCCUCUAGGGCUCUUCCUCUCCAUUCAAGGUUCUUACCAGCUCUAAAGGCCUUUGCCAACAAGGUCUAAGCAGAUUCUUCAGGAGUCCAAGCUAAGAAUGUUUCUAGGAGGGGAUGUAGGAUCAGUCUCAAUUAGCGAGCAGACUAAACAUUUUGAAAAGACUUGUAAUUGUGCUAUUUCAAAUUCAGCUCAGAAGAAAAUAUUUGUGAAAGAUAAGAAAAAUGUGUAAAGGGCAGAAAAUGCUCUAAUUAAAGGAAGCCUGAAAUUCUGAGGGUUUUUGGAUUGACAUCUAUAGUAUUUCAUUUGAGAAGAGCCAGGACAGUUGAGAAGCAGAGAAACCCAAGGAAAAUAAGUAGCUGAUUUUCCAGUUUUGCACCUUUCUCUGAACUUAAGACUUAAAAAAAUAUUAACAGGUAGAAUCAGGUUCAAUGUAGGUUAAAGCGUUAACACUGCCUGGUUCUGGUGAGAGGUGUUGGAGUGUUUGGUGUUUUCAUUUGGCUUCUGGAUGCCCAUUUGAAUAGUCACCAAUGUGAACUGGGUGCAUGCAACCAGGCCCCAGCUGUGUGCAGGUGUAUAGAGCACUCAUGGCCAAGGUUGGAUGGCACCAACUUUACCACCUGGAGCUCCUCCUGGCACAAAAGCAUUCUAGACUUUGCUCCAAAGGAGGGUUAGUUGCUGAGCUCACUAAGUCUUGACCAUAAAAUAAGUCUUGAGCUCACUAAGUUCCUGAUGGGAACUGCUUUCCUCACCAGUUUGUUAGAAUUUUCAGGAGUUGUCAUCGUUUGAUCAAAAUACAGUGGUGAAUCUUUGGUCAUUUUAAAAUUUACCUAUCACAGUUUACUGUUUAAGAUGUUGUUUUGAAGCAUCUUGCCCAGAAACUCUUAAGGGUGAUUUGAUGUCUUGGAAACCAUGAUAGCAACAGGGACCCAGGAGUUCAGAAAACCAUUUCAGGGUUUCCUUCUCAGAAUUUAGACACCCAGAUUAGAGAGAGAGGGAGGGAAGGAAGCUAUGGUGAUAAAGCUACCAUAAAUAAAGCUAACUUUUAUUCAUUGUUUUGAAUAAAGAUGUAUUUGUGCAAAAUAAAAGUCACUCAAAAAUAAGACAGUGACAGGUAAAGGACAUUGUUCACGUGAAGAACUCUUAACUGAAUGCAGAGCUGGGACUGUUCACUCUCCAGGGCUUUGCUUUCUUGUCACCACGGUCAUCAACAAUUGUGCCCUUGGAUAUGGAUAUGGAGAACUUGCUGGUGACCGCGGUUGGGGGCAAGAUUGAGGGAGCUUAAGGCUUCAGCAUCACUCAGCUCCCCAGUGUACCCAGGAAUCCCAGUGGGCCCCACCCUGGCAGUAGAUGAUGGGAGCAAAGCCUUGGCCUGCAGGAGAGGCUGGUGCACAGUGGCUUCUGUGCAGCUGUUCUCCGUGAGCAUGGCAGCCUCCGAGUGCUUCCGAGGAAGCUGGGAGAAAGUCUCACAACUUCCCGUUCUGGCAUGGUCCGGGGGGAGAAUACAAGGGCUUUCAGACCCUGCAGGAGAGACAGGGGUGGGAGGAAGCAAGGAGGCCAGCCCAGUCCACAGUCCUGAAGCCGGGUCCUGUCUCAGAAAAGCCAACAGCAACAAGGCCUGGAAGGGACCCGGGGGGGCGGGGGGGGGGGGGCAGAGAGCAGGCCUUCCAGAUGAAUAGCACCCAUAGGAACAGAAAACAAGACACAAUUUAAGGCAUUGUUUGUUUACAGUAAAAGAAUGCAAGGAACCCUUAACAUAGGAGGAAUCUGGGCUCUCACUCUGACCUUCCUUGGUGAACAAGGCUAUCACAUAAGGUUAAAGCACGGCCUCAAAGCGAAUGAAAGAUGUGACGUCACAAGUCUUGUGCCAAAAUGCAUGUUUCUCGAACAGUUCACACUCGCUCGCACUCACACAUACAUGGCACACACACGCAGAGGAUGCUUUGGGGGUUGUAC